GGGUCUGUGGCUCAGUGGUAGAGCGCUCACCUAGCAUGUGUGAGGCCCUGGGUUCCAUCCUCAGCACCA
This 69-nucleotide transfer RNA is filed under the name Ictidomys tridecemlineatus (thirteen-lined ground squirrel). Its description in RNAcentral is "Spermophilus tridecemlineatus (thirteen-lined ground squirrel) tRNA". It matches the Rfam family "tRNA". Rfam says of the family: Transfer RNA (tRNA) molecules are approximately 80 nucleotides in length. Lineage: Eukaryota; Metazoa; Chordata; Mammalia; Rodentia; Sciuridae. The record is from Rfam by way of RNAcentral.